UAAGCGGAGGAAAAGAAACCAACAGGGAUUGCCCCAGUAACGGCGAGUGAAGCGGCAAAAGCUCAAAUUUGAAAUCCUGCGGGAAUUGUAAUUUGAAGGUUUCGUGGUCUGAGUCGGCCGCGCCCAAGUCCAUUGGAACAUGGCGCCUGGGAGGGUGAGAGCCCCGUCUGGCGCACGCCGACUCUUUGCACCGCGGCUCCGACGAGUCGAGUUGUUUGGGAAUGCAGCUCUAAGUGGGUGGUAAAUUCCAUCUAAAGCUAAAUAUUGGCGAGAGACCGAUAGCGAACAAGUACAGUGAUGGAAAGAUGAAAAGCACUUUGAAAAGAGAGUGAAACAGCACGUGAAAUUGUUGAAAGGGAAGGGCUUGCAAGCAGACACGGUUUUACCGGGCCAGCGUCGAAAGGGUGAGAGGAACAAGAACUCGAGAAUGUGGCGCGCACCUUCGGGCGCGCGUGUUAUAGCUCGUGUUGACGCCUCCAU
Molecule: ribosomal RNA, 480 nt
Filed under: Clavispora lusitaniae
Lineage: Eukaryota; Fungi; Ascomycota; Pichiomycetes; Serinales; Metschnikowiaceae
Description: LSU rRNA
Rfam family: Eukaryotic large subunit ribosomal RNA
Source: RNAcentral